RNAcentral lists this transfer RNA (72 nucleotides) under Loxodonta africana (African savanna elephant). Its description in RNAcentral is "tRNA-Ala (AGC) (tRNA-Ala-AGC-4-1)". It matches the Rfam family "tRNA". Rfam says of the family: Transfer RNA (tRNA) molecules are approximately 80 nucleotides in length. Their secondary structure includes four short double-helical elements and three loops (D, anti-codon, and T loops). Lineage: Eukaryota; Metazoa; Chordata; Mammalia; Proboscidea; Elephantidae. The record is from Rfam by way of RNAcentral.
GGGGGUAUAGCUCAGUGGUAGAGCACGUGCUUAGCAUGCACGAGGCCCUGGGUUCGAUUCCCAGUACCUCCA